Molecule: small RNA, 131 nt
Filed under: Klebsiella pneumoniae
Lineage: Bacteria; Pseudomonadati; Pseudomonadota; Gammaproteobacteria; Enterobacterales; Enterobacteriaceae
Description: RtT sRNA
Rfam family: RtT RNA
About the family: This family represents a bacterial cis-regulatory element known as RtT RNA. The exact function of RtT is unknown although it is thought that it may be involved in changing the cellular response in relation to amino acid starvation.
Source: RNAcentral
UUGCAUCUGGGGCCUGUGAGAAUGAGAACCUCCGGGGGCAGGAGGUUCGACUCGAGCGAAGCGAGAGAACGUUGCGUCAGCAACGGCCCGCAGGGCGAGGCUCGUUGCGCAGUCGCGCUCCAUCGCCUUCA